GAGAAUGAUCCAGCUGCAGAAGAUGUCAGUUAUGGACAAAUUAUGGUCAAGGAGAAACACAGUGAAUUAAAGAUAAGAGAGAGCGAUUCAACUACAAUCUACUCAGAAGUGAGAACAGCCGACGUCUGCUAUGGACCAAAAACCACCAGACCAAGUAGUCCCAAAGAGUUUAAACCAGAGACAGACACCAUCUACUCCUUACUGAAGUAGUCCACCAGUCCAACCACUCAUGUCCAGCUGCUGGUCUCUAACUGGUCCCCCAGCACCACAGGCCAGAGGACAUCCACACAGAAUCACUGAGCUCUGGUGGUGUUCAAUAUAAUGAUGCAUAUGGAGCAGCAGUGCAGUAGCUUCUCUAAGUAACUACGUGUCAUUCUUCUGUUUUCUCAUAACGAAUGACGAUAAGGAAUCAUGUUUCAUCGUUUUUGGCUAAAUUAUGUGGCUUAAAUAUCACAUCCUAUUUAUAACUGGUGCUUUAAAUGUGUUUGUUACAAAAUCAGCAAUGAUAAAUAAUAUAAAUAUG
This is a long non-coding RNA of Pelmatolapia mariae (spotted tilapia), 523 nucleotides long. RefSeq lists it as uncharacterized. Lineage: Eukaryota; Metazoa; Chordata; Actinopteri; Cichliformes; Cichlidae. The transcript is spliced from 3 exons. The record is from RefSeq and is a predicted model, not a curated record.